This 308-nucleotide ribosomal RNA is filed under the name uncultured Pseudomonas sp. Its description in RNAcentral is "bacterial SSU rRNA". It matches the Rfam family "Bacterial small subunit ribosomal RNA", at positions 1064 to 1382 of the family's 1533-position model. Lineage: Bacteria; Pseudomonadati; Pseudomonadota; Gammaproteobacteria; Pseudomonadales; Pseudomonadaceae. The record is from RNAcentral.
GGCUUGAGAUGUGGGUAGUCCGCACGAGCGCACCUUGUCUUAGUUGCAGCAUUGAGUUGGGCACUCUAAGGAGACUGCCGGUGUUAAACCGGAGGAAGGUGGGGAUGACGUCAAGUCAUCAUGGCCCUUACGGCCUGGGCUACACACGUGCUACAAUGGUCGGUACAAAGGGUUGCCAAGCCGCGAGGUGGAGCUAAUCCCAUAAAACCGAUCGUAGUCCGGAUCGCAGUCUGCAACUCGACUGCGUGAAGUCGGAAUCGCUAGUAAUCGUGAAUCAGAAUGUCACGGUGAAUACGUUCCCGGGCCUU